AUUUAAGUAGUUUAAUUAAAAUAUUGAUUUGUGGUGUCAAUGAUAUGAAAUUUCAUCUUAGAUC
Molecule: transfer RNA, 64 nt
Filed under: Rhagio sp. KW-2016
Lineage: Eukaryota; Metazoa; Arthropoda; Insecta; Diptera; Rhagionidae
Description: tRNA-His
Source: RNAcentral